GAUGAACGCUAGCGGCAGGCUUAACACAUGCAAGUCGAACGGCAGCACGGGAGCAAUCCUGGUGGCGAGUGGCGAACGGGUGAGUAAUAUAUCGGAACGUGCCCAGUCGUGGGGAUAACGUAGCGAAAGUUACGCUAAUACCGCAUACGAUCUAAGGAUGAAAGCGGGGGAUCGCAAGACCUCGCGCGAUUGGAGCGGCCGAUAUCAGAUUAGGUAGUUGGUGAGGUAAAGGCUCACCAAGCCAACGAUCUGUAGCUGGUCUGAGAGGACGACCAGCCACACUGGAACUGAGACACGGUCCAGACUCCUACGGGAGGCAGCAGUGGGGAAUAUUGGACAAUGGGCGAAAGCCUGAUCCAGCAAUGCCGCGUGAGUGAUGAAGGCCUUAGGGUUGUAAAAGCUCUUUUUACCCGAGAUGAUAAUGACAGUAUCGGGAGAAUAAGCUCCGGCUAAACUCCGUGCCAGCAG
RNAcentral lists this ribosomal RNA (468 nucleotides) under uncultured bacterium. RNAcentral's name for it is "bacterial SSU rRNA". It matches the Rfam family "Bacterial small subunit ribosomal RNA", at positions 28 to 514 of the family's 1533-position model. The record is from RNAcentral.